This 283-nucleotide ribosomal RNA is filed under the name uncultured Bacillota bacterium. RNAcentral's name for it is "uncultured Firmicutes bacterium partial 16S ribosomal RNA". It matches the Rfam family "Bacterial small subunit ribosomal RNA", at positions 59 to 339 of the family's 1533-position model. Lineage: Bacteria; Bacillati; Bacillota. The record is from RNAcentral.
AAGUCGAACGAAGCUUGACGGAUGAUUUCUUCGGAAUGAAACCUGAUAUGACUUAGUGGCGGACGGGUGAGUAACACGUGAGCAACCUGCCUUUCAGAGGGGGAUAACGGCUGGAAACGGUCGCUAAUACCGCAUGACACUGAGGGAAAAGGAUUUAUUCGCUUUAGGAUGGACUCGCGUCCAAUUAGCUAGUUGGUGGGGUAACGGCCUACCAAAGCGACGAUCAGUAGCCGACCUGAGAGGGUGACCGGCCACAUUGGGACUGAGACACGGCCCAAACUCC